RNAcentral lists this ribosomal RNA (1451 nucleotides) under Escherichia coli. Its description in RNAcentral is "bacterial SSU rRNA". It matches the Rfam family "Bacterial small subunit ribosomal RNA". Lineage: Bacteria; Pseudomonadati; Pseudomonadota; Gammaproteobacteria; Enterobacterales; Enterobacteriaceae. The record is from RNAcentral.
GUGUAAGGACCGGCAGCUACCAUGCAAGUCGAACGGUAGCAGCGCAAGCAGCUUGCUUUUUUGCUGACGAGUGGCGGACGGGUGAGUAAUGUCUGGGAAACUGCCUGAUGGAGGGGGAUAACUACUGGAAACGGUAGCUAAUACCGCAUAACGUCGCAAGACCAAAGAGGGGGACCUUCGGGCCUCUUGCCAUCGGAUGUGCCCAGAUGGGAUUAGCUAGUAGGUGGGGUAACGGCUCACCUAGGCGACGAUCCCUAGCUGGUCUGAGAGGAUGACCAGCCACACUGGAACUGAGACACGGUCCAGACUCCUACGGGAGGCAGCAGUGGGGAAUAUUGCACAAUGGGCGCAAGCCUGAUGCAGCCAUGCCGCGUGUAUGAAGAAGGCCUUCGGGUUGUAAAGUACUUUCAGCGGGGAGGAAGGGAGUAAAGUUAAUACCUUUGCUCAUUGACGUUACCCGCAGAAGAAGCACCGGCUAACUCCGUGCCAGCAGCCGCGGUAAUACGGAGGGUGCAAGCGUUAAUCGGAAUUACUGGGCGUAAAGCGCACGCAGGCGGUUUGUUAAGUCAGAUGUGAAAUCCCCGGGCUCAACCUGGGAACUGCAUCUGAUACUGGCAAGCUUGAGUCUCGUAGAGGGGGGUAGAAUUCCAGGUGUAGCGGUGAAAUGCGUAGAGAUCUGGAGGAAUACCGGUGGCGAAGGCGGCCCCCUGGACGAAGACUGACGCUCAGGUGCGAAAGCGUGGGGGAGCAAACAGGAUUAGAUACCCUGGUAGUCCACGCCGUAAACGAUGUCGACUUGGAGGUUGUGCCCUUGAGGCGUGGCUUCCGGAGCUAACGCGUUAAGUCGACCGCCUGGGGAGUACGGCCGCAAGGUUAAAACUCAAAUGAAUUGACGGGGGCCCGCACAAGCGGUGGAGCAUGUGGUUUAAUUCGAUGCAACGCGAAGAACCUUACCUGGUCUUGACAUCCACGGAAGUUUCCAGAGAUGGAAAGGUGCCUUCGGGAACCGUGAGACAGGUGCUGCAUGGCUGUCGUCAGCUCGUGUUGUGAAAUGUUGGGUUAAGUCCCGCAACGAGCGCAACCCUUAUCCUUUGUUGCCAGCGGUCCGGCCGGGAACUCAAAGGAGACUGCCAGUGAUAAACUGGAGGAAGGUGGGGAUGACGUCAAGUCAUCAUGGCCCUUACGACCAGGGCUACACACGUGCUACAAUGGCGCAUACAAAGAGAAGCGACCUCGCGAGAGCAAGCGGACCUCAUAAAGUGCGUCGUAGUCCGGAUUGGAGUCUGCAACUCGACUCCAUGAAGUCGGAAUCGCUAGUAAUCGUGGAUCAGAAUGCCACGGUGAAUACGUUCCCGGGCCUUGUACACACCGCCCGUCACACCAUGGGAGUGGGUUGCAAAAGAAGUAGGUAGCUUAACCUUCGGGAGGGCGCUUACCACUUGAUCGUUGCA